RNAcentral lists this long non-coding RNA (326 nucleotides) under Homo sapiens (human). RNAcentral's name for it is "non-protein coding lnc-BRF1-23:1". Lineage: Eukaryota; Metazoa; Chordata; Mammalia; Primates; Hominidae. The record is from RNAcentral.
GAUCUCCUGUAAGGGUUCUGGAUACAGCUUUACCAGCUACUGGAUCGGCUGGGUGCGCCAGAUGCCCGGGAAAGGCCUGGAGUGGAUGGGGAUCAUCUAUCCUGGUGACUCUGAUACCAGAUACAGCCCGUCCUUCCAAGGCCAGGUCACCAUCUCAGCCGACAAGUCCAUCAGCACCGCCUACCUGCAGUGGAGCAGCCUGAAGGCCUCGGACACCGCCAUGUAUUACUGUGCGAGACACACACAAUGUGACAACUGGUUCGACCCCUGGGGCCAGGGAACCCUGGUCACCGUCUCCUCAGGUGAGUCCUCACCACCCCCUCUCU